This 412-nucleotide ribosomal RNA is filed under the name uncultured bacterium. Its description in RNAcentral is "bacterial SSU rRNA". It matches the Rfam family "Bacterial small subunit ribosomal RNA", at positions 355 to 758 of the family's 1533-position model. The record is from RNAcentral.
UGGGGAAUAUUGCGCAAUGGGCGAAAGCCUGACGCAGCAACGCCGUGUGAGGGAUGAAGGCUUUCGGGUCGUAAACCUCUGUCAGAAGGGAAGAACGGGUGAGGGUCUAACAGGCCUUUAUUUUGACGGUACCUUCAGAGGAAGCACCGGCUAACUCCGUGCCAGCAGCCGCGGUAAUACGGAGGGUGCAAGCGUUAUUCGGAAUUACUGGGCGUAAAGCGCACGUAGGCGGCCUUGUAAGUCAGGGGUGAAAUCCCACGGCUCAACCGUGGAACUGCCCUUGAAACUGCGGGGCUUGAAUCCUGGAGAGGGUGGCGGAAUUCCUGGUGUAGGAGUGAAAUCCGUAGAUAUCAGGAGGAACACCGGUGGCGAAGACGGCCACCUGGACAGGCAUUGACGCUGAGGUGCGAAA